GAGUUUGAUCAUGGCUCAGAUUGAACGCUGGCGGCAGGCCUAACACAUGCAAGUCGAACGGUAACAGGAAGCAGCUUGCUGCUUCGCUGACGAGUGGCGGACGGGUGAGUAAUGUCUGGGAAGCUGCCUGAUGGAGGGGGAUAACUACUGGAAACGGUAGCUAAUACCGCAUAAUGUCGCAAGACCAAAGAGGGGGACCUUCGGGCCUCUUGCCAUCGGAUGUGCCCAGAUGGGACUAGCUUGUUGGUGGGGUAACGGCUCACCAAGGCGACGAUCCCUAGCUGGUCUGAGAGGAUGACCAGCCACACUGGAACUGAGACACGGUCCAGACUCCUACGGGAGGCAGCAGUGGGGAAUAUUGCACAAUGGGCGCAAGCCUGAUGCAGCCAUGCCGCGUGUAUGAAGAAGGCCUUCGGGUUGUAAAGUACUUUCAGCGGGAGGAAGGGAGCAAAGUUAAUACCUUUGCUCAUUGACGUUACCCGCAGAAGAAGCACCGGCUAACUCCGUGCCAGCAGCCGCGGUAAUACGGAGGGUGCAAGCGUUAAUCGGAAUUACUGGGCGUAAAGCGCACGCAGGCGGUUUGUUAAGUCAGAUGUGAAAUCCCCGGGCUCAACCUGGGAACUGCAUCUGAUACUGGCAAGCUUGAGUCUCGUAGAGGGGGGUAGAAUUCCAGGUGUAGCGGUGAAAUGCGUAGAGAUCUGGAGGAAUACCGGUGGCGAAGGCGGCCCCCUGGACGAAGACUGACGCUCAGGUGCGAAAGCGUGGGGAGCAAACAGGAUUAGAUACCCUGGUAGUCCACGCCGUAAACGAUGUCGACUUGGAGGUUGUGCCCUUGAGGCGUGGCUUCCGGAGCUAACGCGUUAAGUCGACCGCCUGGGGAGUACGGCCGCAAGGUUAAAACUCAAAUGAAUUGACGGGGGCCCGCACAAGCGGUGGAGCAUGUGGUUUAAUUCGAUGCAACGCGAAGAACCUUACCUGGUCUUGACAUCCACGGAAGUUUUCAGAGAUGAGAAUGUGCCUUCGGGAACCGUGAGACAGGUGCUGCAUGGCUGUCGUCAGCUCGUGUUGUGAAAUGUUGGGUUAAGUCCCGCAACGAGCGCAACCCUUAUCCUUUGUUGCCAGCGGUCCGGCCGGGAACUCAAAGGAGACUGCCAGUGAUAAACUGGAGGAAGGUGGGGAUGACGUCAAGUCAACAUGGCCCUUACGACCAGGGCUACACACGUGCUACAAUGGCGCAUACAAAGAGAAGCGACCUCGCGAGAGCAAGCGGACCUCAUAAAGUGCGUCGUAGUCCGGAUUGGAGUCUGCAACUCGACUCCAUGAAGUCGGAAUCGCUAGUAAUCGUGGAUCAGAAUGCCACGGUGAAUACGUUCCCGGGCCUUGUACACACCGCCCGUCACACCAUGGGAGUGGGUUGCAAAAGAAGUAGGUAGCUUAACCUUCGGGAGGGCGCUUACCACUUUGUGAUUCAUGACUGGGGUGAAGUCGGAACAAGGUA
This 1498-nucleotide ribosomal RNA is filed under the name metagenome. RNAcentral describes it as "bacterial SSU rRNA". It matches the Rfam family "Bacterial small subunit ribosomal RNA". The record is from RNAcentral.